CCUACGGGAGGCUGCAGUGAGGAAUAUUGGUCAAUGGACGGAAGUCUGAACCAGCCAUGCCGCGUGCAGGAAGACGGCUCUAUGAGUUGUAAACUGCUUUUGUACAAGGGUACACCUGAAUACGUGUAUUCAGCUGAAAGUACUGUACGCAUACGGAUCGGCUAACUCCGUGCCAGCAGCCGCGGUAAUCCGGAGGAUCCAAGAGUUAUCCGGAUUUAUUGGGUUUAAAGGGUGAGUAGGCGGAGUGAUACGUUGGAGGUGAAAUGUCCGAGCUUAACUCGGGAACUGCCUCUAAUACUGUUGAGCUAGAGAGUAGGUGCGGUAGGCGGAAUGUAUGGUGUAGCGGUGAAAUGCUUAGAGAUCAUACAGAACACCGAUUGCGAAGGCAGCUUACCAAUCUAUAUCUGACGUUGAGGCACGAAAGCGUGGGGAGCAAACAGGAUUAGAUACCCGGGUAGUC
This 460-nucleotide ribosomal RNA is filed under the name uncultured bacterium. RNAcentral's name for it is "partial 16S ribosomal RNA". It matches the Rfam family "Bacterial small subunit ribosomal RNA", at positions 338 to 795 of the family's 1533-position model. The record is from RNAcentral.